Molecule: ribosomal RNA, 457 nt
Filed under: uncultured bacterium
Lineage: Bacteria
Description: bacterial SSU rRNA
Rfam family: Bacterial small subunit ribosomal RNA
Source: RNAcentral
GAUGAACGCUGGCGGCGUGCUUAACACAUGCAAGUCGAACGGGAUCCCAGGAGCUUGCUCCUGGGUGAGAGUGGCGAACGGGUGAGUAAUGCGUGACCGACCUGCCCCAUACACCGGAAUAGCUCCUGGAAACGGGUGGUAAUGCCGGAUGCUCCAGUUGGAUGCAUGUCCUUCUGGGAAAGAUUCAUCGGUAUGGGAUGGGGUCGCGUCCUAUCAGCUUGAUGGCGGGGUAACGGCCCACCAUGGCUUCGACGGGUAGCCGGCCUGAGAGGGCGACCGGCCACAUUGGGACUGAGAUACGGCCCAGACUCCUACGGGAGGCAGCAGUGGGGAAUAUUGCACAAUGGGCGCAAGCCUGAUGCAGCGACGCCGCGUGCGGGAUGACGGCCUUCGGGUUGUAAACCGCUUUUGACUGGGAGCAAGCCCUUCGGGGUGAGUGUACCUUUCGAAUAAGCAC